UACGAGGGGUCCUAGCGUUGUUCGGAAUCAUUGGGCGUAAAGCGGGUGCAGGCGGAUUGGCAAGUCAGAUGUGAAAGCCCUGGGCUCAACCCAGGAAGUGCAUUUGAAACUGCUGAUCUUGAGUGUGGUAGAGGCUAGUGGAAUUCCUGGUGUAGUGGUGAAAUACGUAGAUAUCAGGAGGAACAUCGGUGGCGAAGGCGGCUAGCUGGACCAACACUGACGCUCAGGCGCGAAAGCGUGGGGAGCAAACAGG
This 253-nucleotide unclassified non-coding RNA is filed under the name uncultured Pseudobdellovibrionaceae bacterium. RNAcentral's name for it is "uncultured Bdellovibrionaceae bacterium contains 16S-23S intergenic spacer region". It matches the Rfam family "Bacterial small subunit ribosomal RNA", at positions 524 to 776 of the family's 1533-position model. The record is from RNAcentral. Lineage: Bacteria; Pseudomonadati; Bdellovibrionota; Bdellovibrionia; Bdellovibrionales; Pseudobdellovibrionaceae.